AUGAGCUCAACGAGAACA
RNAcentral lists this small nuclear RNA (18 nucleotides) under Arabidopsis thaliana (thale cress). Its description in RNAcentral is "snRNA_05501". The record is from RNAcentral. Lineage: Eukaryota; Viridiplantae; Streptophyta; Magnoliopsida; Brassicales; Brassicaceae.